UGUGUGUUAGUGGAACGGUCUGGAAAGUCCGACGGUACAGGGUGAUAGUCCCGUACACGAAAAUGCACAUGCUGUGAACUCGAAGAGUAGGGCGGGACACGUGGUAUCCUGUCUGAAUAUGGGGGGACCAUCCUCCAAGGCUAAAUACUCCUGACUGACCGAUAGUGAACCAGUACCGUGAGGGAAAGGCGAAAAGAACCCCGGCGAGGGGAGUGAAAAAGAACCUGAAACCGUGUACGUACAAGCAGUGGGAGCCUCUUUAUGGGGUGACUGCGUACCUUUUGUAUAAUGGGUCAGCGACUUAUAUUCUGUAGCAAGGUUAACCGUAUAGGGGAGCCGAAGGGAAACCGAGUCUUAACUGGGCGUUAAGUUGCAGGGUAUAGACCCGAAACCCGGUGAUCUAGCCAUGGGCAGGUUGAAGGUUGGGUAACACUAACUGGAGGACCGAACCGACUAAUGUUGAAAAAUUAGCGGAUGACCUGUGGCUGGGGGUGAAAGGCCAAUCAAACCGGGAGAUAGCUGGUUCUCCCCGAAAGCUAUUUAGGUAGCGCCUCGUGAACUCAUCUUCGGGGGUAGAGCACUGUUUCGGCUAGGGGGCCAUCCCGGCUUACCAACCCGAUGCAAACUACGAAUACCGAAGAAUGUUAUCACGGGAGACACACGGCGGGUGCUAACGUCCGUCGUGAAGAGGGAAACAACCCAGACCGCCAGCUAAGGUCCCAAAGUCAUGGUUAAGUGGGAAACGAUGUGGGAAGGCACAGACAGCCAGGAUGUUGGCUUAGAAGCAGCCAUCAUUUAAAGAAAGCGUAAUAGCUCACUGGUCGAGUCGGCCUGCGCGGAAGAUGUAACGGGGCUAAACCAUGCACCGAAGCUGCGGCAGCGACACUAUGUGUUGUUGGGUAGGGGAGCGUUCUGUAAGCCGUUGAAGGUGUGCUGUGAGGCAUGCUGGAGGUAUCAGAAGUGCGAAUGCUGACAUAAGUAACGAUAAAGCGGGUGAAAAGCCCGCUCGCCGGAAGACCAAGGGUUCCUGUCCAACGUUAAUCGGGGCAGGGUGAGUCGACCCCUAAGGCGAGGCCGAAAGGCGUAGUCGAUGGGAAACAGGUUAAUAUUCCUGUACUUGGUGUUACUGCGAAGGGGGGACGGAGAAGGCUAUGUCAGCCGGGCGACGGUUGUCCCGGUUUAAGCAUGUAGGCGGAGGUUCCAGGUAAAUCCGGUACCUUGUUAACGCUGAGGUGUGAUGACGAGGCACUACGGUGCUGAAGUGAUAAAUGCCCUGCUUCCAGGAAAAGCCUCUAAGCAUCAGGUAACACGAAAUCGUACCCCAAACCGACACAGGUGGUCAGGUAGAGAAUACCAAGGCGCUUGAGAGAACUCGGGUGAAGGAACUAGGCAAAAUGGUGCCGUAACUUCGGGAGAAGGCACGCUGAUAUGUAGGUGAAGCCCCUGCGGGCGGAGCUGAAAUCAGUCGAAGAUACCAGCUGGCUGCAACUGUUUAUUAAAAACACAGCACUGUGCAAACACGAAAGUGGACGUAUACGGUGUGACGCCUGCCCGGUGCCGGAAGGUUAAUUGAUGGGGUUAGCGGCAACGCGAAGCUCUUGAUCGAAGCCCCGGUAAACGGCGGCCGUAACUAUAACGGUCCUAAGGUAGCGAAAUUCCUUGUCGGGUAAGUUCCGACCUGCACGAAUGGCGUAAUGAUGGCCAGGCUGUCUCCACCCGAGACUCAGUGAAAUUGAACUCGCUGUGAAGAUGCAGUGUACCCGCGGCAAGACGGAAAGACCCCGUGAACCUUUACUAUAGCUUGACACUGAACACUGGUCCUUGAUGUGUAGGAUAGGUGGGAGGCUUUGAAGCGUGGACGCCAGUCUGCGUGGAGCCGCCCUUGAAAUACCACCCUUUAAUGGCUGGUGUUCUAACGUAGACCCGUAAUCCGGGUUGCGGACAGUGUCUGGUGGGUAGUUUGACUGGGGCGGUCUCCUCCCAAAGAGUAACGGAGGAGCACGAAGGUUGGCUAAUCCUGGUCGGACAUCAGGAGGUUAGUGCAAUGGCAUAAGCCAGCUUGACUGCGAGCGUGACGGCGCGAGCAGGUGCGAAAGCAGGUCAUAGUGAUCCGGUGGUUCUGAAUGGAAGGGCCAUCGCUCAACGGAUAAAAGGUACUCCGGGGAUAACAGGCUGAUACCGCCCAAGAGUUCAUAUCGACGGCGGUGUUUGGCACCUCGAUGUCGGCUCAUCACAUCCUGGGGCUGAAGUAGGUCCCAAGGGUAUGGCUGUUCGCCAUUUAAAGUGGUACGCGAGCUGGGUUUAGAACGUCGUGAGACAGUUCGGUCCCUAUCUGCCGUGGGCGCUGGAGAAUUGAGGGGGGCUGCUCCUAGUACGAGAGGACCGGAGUGGACGCAUCACUGGUGUUCGGGUUGUCAUGCCAAUGGCACUGCCCGGUAGCUAAAUGCGGAAGAGAUAAGUGCUGAAAGCAUCUAAGCACGAAACUUGCCCCGAGAUGAGUUCUCCCUGAGACUUUAAGUCUCCUGAAGGAACGUUAAAGACGAUGACGUUGAUAGGUCGGGUGUGUAAGCGCAGCGAUGCGUUGAGCUAACCGAUACUAAUGAACCGUGAGGCUUAACCUUACAACGCCGAAG
RNAcentral lists this ribosomal RNA (2633 nucleotides) under Enterobacter hormaechei subsp. hormaechei. Its description in RNAcentral is "bacterial LSU rRNA". It matches the Rfam family "Bacterial large subunit ribosomal RNA", at positions 323 to 2925 of the family's 2925-position model. The record is from RNAcentral. Lineage: Bacteria; Pseudomonadati; Pseudomonadota; Gammaproteobacteria; Enterobacterales; Enterobacteriaceae.